Molecule: ribosomal RNA, 468 nt
Filed under: uncultured bacterium
Lineage: Bacteria
Description: partial 16S ribosomal RNA
Rfam family: Bacterial small subunit ribosomal RNA
Source: RNAcentral
GACGAACGCUGGCGGCGUGCUUAACACAUGCAAGUCGAACGGAAAGGCCCUGCUUUUGUGGGGUGCUCGAGUGGCGAACGGGUGAGUAACACGUGAGUAACCUGCCCUUGACUUUGGGAUAACUUCAGGAAACUGGGGCUAAUACCGGAUAGGAGCUCCUGCUGCAGGGUGGGGGUGGGAAAGUUUCGGCGGUUGGGGAUGGACUCGCGGCUUAUCAGCUUGUUGGUGGGGUAGUGGCUUACCAAGGCUUUGACGGGUAGCCGGCCUGAGAGGGUGACCGGCCACAUUGGGACUGAGAUACGGACCAGACUCCUACGGGAGGCAGCAGUGGGGAGUAUUGCACAGUGGGCGGAAGCCUGAUGCAGCAGCGCCGCGUGCGGGAUGACGGCCUUCGGGUUGUAAACCGCUUUCGCCUGUGACGAAGCGUGAGUGACGGUAAUGGGUGAAGAAGCACCGGCUAACUACGUG